Molecule: ribosomal RNA, 730 nt
Filed under: uncultured bacterium
Lineage: Bacteria
Description: bacterial SSU rRNA
Rfam family: Bacterial small subunit ribosomal RNA
Source: RNAcentral
AACAGGAUUAGAUACCCUGGUAGUCCACGCCGUAAACGAUGUCGACUUGGAGGUUGUGCCCUUGAGGCGUGGCUUCCGGAGCUAACGCGUUAAGUCGACCGCCUGGGGAGUACGGCCGCAAGGUUAAAACUCAAAUGAAUUGACGGGGGCCCGCACAAGCGGUGGAGCAUGUGGUUUAAUUCGAUGCAACGCGAAGAACCUUACCUACUCUUGACAUCCAGAGAACUUUCCAGAGAUGGAUUGGUGCCUUCGGGAACUCUGAGACAGGUGCUGCAUGGCUGUCGUCAGCUCGUGUUGUGAAAUGUUGGGUUAAGUCCCGCAACGAGCGCAACCCUUAUCCUUUGUUGCCAGCGGUCCGGCCGGGAACUCAAAGGAGACUGCCAGUGAUAAACUGGAGGAAGGUGGGGAUGACGUCAAGUCAUCAUGGCCCUUACGAGUAGGGCUACACACGUGCUACAAUGGCGCAUACAAAGAGAAGCGACCUCGCGAGAGCAAGCGGACCUCAUAAAGUGCGUCGUAGUCCGGAUUGGAGUCUGCAACUCGACUCCAUGAAGUCGGAAUCGCUAGUAAUCGUGGAUCAGAAUGCCACGGUGAAUACGUUCCCGGGCCUUGUACACACCGCCCGUCACACCAUGGGAGUGGGUUGCAAAAGAGGUAGGUAGCUUAACCUUCGGGAGGGCGCUUACCACUUUGUGAUUCAUGACUGGGGUGAAGUCGUAACAAGGUAACC